RNAcentral lists this ribosomal RNA (530 nucleotides) under Crocidura foxi (Fox's shrew). RNAcentral describes it as "partial large subunit ribosomal RNA". It matches the Rfam family "Bacterial large subunit ribosomal RNA", at positions 1816 to 2582 of the family's 2925-position model. The record is from RNAcentral. Lineage: Eukaryota; Metazoa; Chordata; Mammalia; Eulipotyphla; Soricidae.
CACCUCUAGCAUUACCAGUAUUAGAGGCACUGCCUGCCCAGUGACAUUAGUUAAACGGCCGCGGUAUCCUGACCGUGCAAAGGUAGCAUAAUCAUUUGUUCCUUAAUUAGGGACUUGUAUGAAUGGCCCCACGAGGGUUUAACUGUCUCUUACUUUCAAUCAGUGAAAUUGACCCUCCCGUGAAGAGGCGGGAAUAUAAAAAUAAGACGAGAAGACCCUAUGGAGCUUAAAUUAAUUUGCUCAACAAAAUUUAAAUUCAGCCCAACAGGAAUAAUUAUAAUUUAACUGAGCAAUAAAUUUUGGUUGGGGUGACCUCGGAGUAUAACAAAACCUCCGAGUGAUUACAACUAAGACAUACUUGUCAAAGUUACGUAACUUAUUGAUCCAAUCAUAUUGAUCAACGAAACAAGUUACCCUAGGGAUAACAGCGCAAUCCUAUUUGAGAGUUCAUAUCGACAAUAGGGUUUACGACCUCGAUGUUGGAUCAGGACACCCAAAUGGUGCAGCAGCUAUUAAAGGUUCGUUUGUUC